AUUCCAAGCAUCUGCUGGGCACAUUGUUACCAGGUUCCGGUGCUGCAGCCGCCCUCCAGAGGUGCUUUCUAGGUUCUUCCUGUUCCAAACAAAGAACCGAUCAAGUCAAGCACAAAAGGUAGCAAGCUUGUACAUUUAUUAAAGGCAGGAAGGAAGCCGGCUCUGCAGAGCGAGUUUGGGCAGGGGUGAGUAGGAGACGAAGCACACCCCACAGCGUGGGCACAGGCCCCUGUGGGGGCCGCGGCACCGCAGCAGCAGGCGCAGUGGCUUCUGCCUGGUGCUGCCCGCUCCCUGGGCUGAGGCCAGGCCUAGGCCAGCCUAUCCAAUUGUGCAGUUGGGAGCUGUCCCGCGAGGGUGUCCCUGGAGCUUGCAAUUAGCAGGGCACGGCACUUUCCCCGCCAGCCUGCCGCGUUCUCUCCAGCUGCCUGGCUAUGAGGUUUCCAUCAGUGACUCACAUCUGGGUUGUCUAAAGGAGCGCAGGUCAUUAGGCUGUGAAGAGACAGGGUCAGGCCCAGUUUCCACGGUGACCGUCAUUGCUACUGGUCAGGACAGUGCGGAUACCAUGACUCCAGGAUUGGACCGUCGCUGUCCCACUUCCUGGAAAAGGAAAUACUACAUUCCAGCAGCCACCUGGACAGCCACGGAGGGGCCUACCUGAGGGCGGAGCUAACAGGACAGACGGCAGUGGAGGAGAAGCCGGGCUGCAGCCCGCAGACCACUGCCAAAGCCACCUUUCCUCUGGACUCUCACCGUGCCAUCUGCAAACACUCGGAUUUUCCAGGCCGGUUUCAUCCCGGCUUUAUUAUUGUGGCUAAAGUAAUUCCCAUCAGCCGGUGCUGUUCCCGUCUAGAGGAGGGGUCCACAGCGCCCUCGCCGGGAGACGCCGGAGCCGGUUCAUAGAGCAAGCACAUCACCCUCGCCGUGUGUCCGAGCUCGGUCUUCCCCUCAGAAGCCUGACGUCAGCGAGGCCCUUGCUCCAGUCCUCCGCAGCACGAGCCUGUGCUCCGGCUCAACAGUGGACUUGGAUAGGGAGCUAGUUUUGCAAAAAGAAGAGAGGGCGAGGAGCACUGCUACUCCUGGCUGUCUUAGCCACGCUGCCUGGCUUCCAAGGCUGGUGCUGCCAGCGGGGCCCCCUGCCCAGUGCACGAGGCACUGUGGACUCGGUCCCAGGUACGGCGGGAGCCAUGCCUCGCAGGAUACUCUGGGGCGAGUCUUGCUUGCGCUCCCAGCUGCACAGCCCUGGCCUGGUUGCUCUCCUUGCUGGUGUGUGAACAGGCCAGAGCCUUCCAAUCCUGGAGCAGCAGCUCGAGUUUCUGUGUUCACAGUGAGGCUUUCUGGCUGACCCAGACCUGCAUUGACUUAGGAGAUAUCCUUCCAAAAGAAAAUGUUCUAUUUGUCCAGCAGUAACACUGUUUACAGAGCUGCAAGCUUUACUCUUUGAUGAUAAGGAAAGUUGAGAAACACAGAUGUUUUUCACUGGCCAGUGGUACUGUCUGGGUCAGCCUCCAGCUAGCAUAAAUAAUCGAGGAGGAACACAAUGCUCUUUGAAAUAUGAAAAAUCUUUUAAGAAAUGUAUUAUUGAUGCUAUGAAAACCAAAGACGAGAUUCAGGAAUGGAAAAUAAAGAUGGUACCUGCCAUACAGGGUGUGGUGCUGUCCACUCUGGCCAACAGACAGACAAGACCUUACAGGGAAUGAACAGCUGGUCACUGGCGCGGCACUGCUCAUGGGUCGAAUGCAGUGCUUCCAGCUCUUUCCCCAAAUGGCCUGGUAGAGAACCCUGCUUCCCAUUCACCUCGCCUCAACACGGCUGCAGGGCUUCGCCCUCAGCAUUAAUCUGUGUGUAUUUGCUAGACCGGAUCGUAAACGAAUGCAGGGAAUCUAAAUGGCCCCACCUCCGACGUGGCCCGCUGUGCACUGGGCAUGGGUCUAGAUCCCGAGGGUGCCCAGGGCUGGCCCAGCAGCCAGCAGAGAAAUCCAGGUUGUGGUGGCUUCCAUAUGACAGUUCCGCCCCUGCCUGCCUGCAGCACUUUCCACCCCAGACGCCCGGUCAGCCUCCGUGCUUCCUCUGCUUCCUCUGCUCUGGCUGGGCCCCACCAUCUGCACCCCGAGUCUGGGCUGUGGUGGAGUCUUAGCAGACGUGGCGCGACUGCGGCGUGUUUUUCUGUGCAAGGUUCGCUCUGUUCACUUCUGAUGUCCAGUGUUGCUUUUUCCAGUCAUUGGCCUAAUGAGCCCUCACUUCCCGUGGACUAACUUCUGGGUGCUUCCAGGCGGCCCACGGGGACACCCUCCUGCCGGGAGAGACAUCUGUGCACUGUUCCUUUCAGCCCUGUGCUGCCCCUGGAUGAUUUUAGUGACGGUGUCACCUGCUGCCUGGGAGGGCAGAGCCGAUCCCCUGGUGUGUCCCACAGGAGGCAUUGGGCUUCUCCUUCUCACCUUUAUUUCGACAGAGACACACUGAAUCCCCAAAGUAAGUUUUGCUGAAGGUGGAAAUCUGAUAAGGUGGCAAUAAACACUGAGACUAGGAUCAUGAAACUGAGCCCUCUUAUACUCAGUCCGGCUUCCCCAUCUUCGCUUUCAACCCAUGGGGCGGCCUUUCCUCUCGCUCUGCUCUCGAGGUCUGUUUCUGCAAGUGCAGACCUCGGCGUCCUGGGACAGGAGCUGCACCCACUCCGACCCUCAGCGCUGGUCCCUGCUGCCCGAGGGCCUCCUCUCUCCAGACCUGGAUCUCGGUGUAGCCGUGAGUUACAGGGGAAGAGACGCCUCAGGGGCCCAUCCCAGCCCGGCCAGGCCUGUCUGAGGGAUUUGCCAGGCGCCAGGCCUUCUCCGAGUGCUGGUGAUAAAAAUUUAUCUCGUUCAGAAAAGAUCAUUCUUCGGCUAAGAAAAGCCAGAUCUUGCUUGCUCCGGGCAUGGCUGGACACAAGUGACGUCGUCCGAUCCUCUCUCAUUUGACAGAGCUUCCUGUUCCGUAUCCGUCUCCAUCUCUGCCCCUCCCUCUUUUUCUUCUUUUUUCUCCUUUAUUUCCCCUUCUACUGAGUCCAUCUGCAUGGAAAAUGCCUCACAUUUUGACAAAAAUGACCACCAGCAAUUUUGGAUUUAUGUUAAAUGACAGCAAUCUCAACUCAGAGAGGAAGAUGUGAUGUCUUCCCAAUGGUCCUAGGAAGGUCCCAAAGGACACUGGAUGAGCCUGGCUCCCCACCCGGCACUGAGGGUAGAGCAUGGGAUUGCCCAGGCCGGGUGACUCCCACCCCUGUGGACAUGGCUGUGGUACUGUGGGUGGCCUGACAGCUCUUGUGUUUGUGGAGCAACAAGUUCAAGGAGAGCAGGGUUGCAGGAAGGGCAGUGGUAGGAAGAGGUGAAGUGACCCAUGUUGGCCAGUGUCACUGAGGCAGGGCCCGCAGGAGCGAAGUGUCCUUCGCCACAUGACGGACGCCACGGGGAAUUUUAGUCAGAGGAGAGAUGUGAUCCUUUGUCCUCUCCUUCAAAGCCUGCCCUGGCCGGUGUGGGUGAGGCGUGGGGAGUCACAGAACACAAGAGGUGGAAGUCUCCAUUUCUAAGAACGAAUGGGUCUCUCCCUUGGCCCGCGUUCUGCUCGAGACUCAUGUGGGUGUCCACUGCGGCCUCACACAGGGCUCCUAGCAGCAGUGCUCAUACCAGCCAAGCACAGGAACAACUCGAACGCCCACCAGCUGCUGGCUGGAGACCAAGCUGUGUUCAUCCUCCAGCAACGCCUGUACAGCACAAGAGGGAAGACUCAGCAGUAACAAUGCUGGCGCCACACGAGGGUCACAUCAGCACAACAUGAAGGAGCCUGGGCGUGCAGGACCACAGCUGUGAGACCGACUCCAUCUGUGGCAUCCGGAGAGCGCAGAGCUGUGGGUGGAGACAGAAGGAAGCAGCGACCAAGAUAGCCAGGCCCAAGAAUAGGUGGCGGCUUUGUUCUCCCGAGAUGCCGUCACUGAGAGCAUUUUUAGAUGGAAGACUGGAAGCCAGAGGCACAACUCAUAAUUAUGUUGCUGUUUCUACCAGCAGUUGUUUUGUGGAAUUAAUUAAACUGUAAAAACUCUACAGUCACCACAUUACAAAAAGUCAGACGAUAAAGGCUGUGGAUGAAAUGUUCCAUGACGCGGAGUGCUGCUGCCUGGCCAGGGGCAUCUCUGUCUUUCUGCCUGGGUGACCCGGCCCCUUUCUUGGUCCCAGCCCCCGGCCGACUCUCCUCAGGGUGCUCCCGGACCACCCCUUCCUCUGACCUUGCACUGACUUCAUCUGCAACCUCCGGGGGGGUUCACCCUCCUCUCCCCUCAGCUGCAGCUUCUACCAGGUACAUCUCCCUCUUUCCAAAGCUAGCUUUGUAGUGUGUUCUUAUGCGACAUUACAAACCAGUGUGUCAGGUCCAGAUUAUCAGAGAUCUGGUAGAGAGAAGAAAGAUGCUCAUCAUCUCGAUAAAGUUACAUGCACUUUGGGGUGUUUCUUCAUUGCUUACUUUUUCCUUCAUUUACUUUAUUAAUCCGUGUUUGCAGUACAUAUGUAAUGAACACAUUCCUCAGGGGAGUUGGUACAUGAACAUAACAGAUCUUAAUUCUUUUCAUGUGCCUCCUGAUCUCUUGGGCCCCUUGCUUUUCAAUGC
Long non-coding RNA from Heterocephalus glaber (naked mole-rat), 4626 nucleotides. The record is from Ensembl. NCBI's taxonomy places the organism in Eukaryota, Metazoa, Chordata, Mammalia, Rodentia, Bathyergidae.